This 32899-nucleotide long non-coding RNA is filed under the name Citrus maxima (pomelo). RNAcentral describes it as "long non-coding RNA (CMAX_LNC003448)". The record is from RNAcentral. Lineage: Eukaryota; Viridiplantae; Streptophyta; Magnoliopsida; Sapindales; Rutaceae.
AAAGCAUAAGAUAGAAAAGAAUCUAAUUUUAUUGACCUUUUGACGACGACGAGAGAGCCUUCAACAUCCUUACGACUCCAUUGGCUGAGGUCGAUGUUGAACUCGUAGAAGGUGACAUGAGCGGCCGUGAUGAGGAUCUCCUCAAUGAAUGGAUCGAUUCGCUGAAGAACUGUCAGGUUCAGGAGUUUUGUGCUCUGCUGGUCCAGAUUAAGCAUCAAUUUUCCGUUAUGCGACAUUUUUCAUAGUCGUUUUGGGCUCUGCCCCGAGCACAAGCCCCAGGGUUUUUCUGUGAGCUCUCUCUUUUGUAAAUAAAGUGUUUGAUGAGAUAGCCGAGAGAGAGUGAAAGUGUUGAACAGCCAAACACGGUCUCGAGAUUGAUCUUCCUUUAACUUCUUUUAAACAUUUGGGAAAUAGCAUUUAUUUCUUUUAGUUUCUCUACUUUUUUUUUCCUUUAUGUCAUUUAGACCCCAAAAUUAGAUUUAUUAUAAUCCUAUUUUACCCAUACACUAUUAACCCCUUUUAUUUUUAAAAUUUGUCAAUAUUAAUGUGUUAGAAUAAUGUUAAAAAUCUCAAUUAUUAUCUCAAUGUUUCAAUCAUAACUAAUGUGAUGACUCAUUGGUAACUGCAACAUUAACUUAAUUAUUAAUGUAACACAAUAAAAGUUUGCCACUUCGGCAUUGGUCGGAGUGGUGGGAUGCUUGUGAGGGCAGCGGUUCAAGCCCCCACAAAAGCAUUUGUGGGGGCUAACGUUGUGGGGGCUAACGUGCUUAUUUGUUUAAUAUUUCAAAAAUUUCCUCUCCCUCGUGCAAUACGAGUGGAGUAUGGACAUCCCUCUUCUGUAAGGGAUUAUUUGUCUGGGCAUGUACUUCACAGAAUUCAAUGUAAUAAUAUAAGUCCCAAUCAUGUAUUUCUGAUUGUAAAUAUCAGUGUAAUAUAUCUGCUGUUGAUGCGAGAUUCUGGUUCUCCUCGUUCUACGACCAGGAUCUCUGCUCGAUCAACUUUACCACGACCAGGAGGUCUCCUAGUAAUGCUUCUUCUCCAGAUGUCCCUGCACACACAGACAAGUCAGAGUACGCCGGUUGUUCUCCCGGCGCAAACCCUCCGACGCUCAAGUCAGAUAUGAAGGUUCGGGGAACGCUUGCCACAGGUCUUAUGGCUUUUUCGUGGUUUUCUCUUUUAUCUUAAAAAUGCUAACCCUUUUACCUUCGUUGGCUACCUUUUUAUAGGCUUCUCCGAAUCCCCGUUUUCCGCUUUUUGCCAGACGGUAUGGGACUCUGACUGCUGCGUCAUGGGCGAAGGUGGGAUCUUGCGUGUUACGCCACGGUUCUGGGGAAAGCGUGGCUGUCGUGCCUAGAUUCUCGGGCUGGAGAGCAUGUCUUGCCAACUGCCGUCGACCGGGUCUCCUCGCUUCUCGACCUCUAGCCGGAAUGAUCUUAUGCCUCUUACAGGAAAUUGACCUCGCGGAUGACGUGCUCGUGGACGAGCAGGAUAUUUCUGCUCCUGUUCCCCCGCGCAUCAGGCUUUUACGGAACACACCGGCUCGAGGAACUCUGCCCCCAGAUAUCUGCUCACCAUGCCUGGUCUCGUCGACGUAUUUCUCCUAAACACCGGUCCCCCAGUUUCUGGUGUUGGGUAAUGUAGUGGACCAGCAGUAGAAACUCGAUAGUACUCGCUCACGUGGGACUGGAAAAGGCUGCCAAGAGUCGUGUCGCAUUUAAUUGCGGACGGGGUGACGUGGCGAAAAUCCCCCCCUCCAUUUGAAUUUCAAACCGACGGUUAUGAGGCCCUCGGGAUUCGGCGCUGUUAAAUGCUGGCAACCCAAGAGUCCGUCCCCAUUAGAAAAACCAAAUCCUCUCGAACGGCAUAUUCAUCAUCCACUACGUCUCCGUCUCUGUCUCUCCGGCAAAGAAGUUCCGGCAUAAAAGUCCUCCAUCUCUGAUUUUCACCGACUGAACCAUUACUUCAGGUAUUUCUUCUAUCUCCUUGGCCUCGGAUAGUUGUAGAUAAUUUCUCUUUUCUUCUGUUUGGGUAGUAGUUGGUGGUGUUGUGGUUAGAGCUUAGGGAAUGUCGAAAGGCAAAGAGAAGGUCAUUGAGGUUGACGACGACGAGUUGGACUUCCUGCCUAGUCUGCUCACCGACCCUGCUUUUGACCCCGGGAUUCCCUUAGAGCCCACUAGGUCUAGUGUCGGGACUAGUGCUAGGAGGAUGUCUCCCCAAACAACCUCUACGAGCGGAAGUAGUGGUGAGGAGAGAUCUUCUGACUCUGAGGAUACGUUGAGUGAGAAUGGCGAAGGUGAUUCUGGUGAGGUGUCUCCAUCUAGAACAUCACGACCAGGAGAACGGGGUACAGUAGGAGGCAGAGCCUUGUCGCGCGAUUAUGCCAUUGAUUACAUGACGUGCACGACCUCGUUUGACGAGCUCAAGGACCUCCGGCUUAGGUAUAGCAUUCCUGGUGAGAUACCUCUCAAGGUCCCAGGAAAGAAGGAUGCUCCCAGCCGGCCUCCUAGGGGAUACGUUACCCUGUUUUUAGAGAGCUUUAAGUACGGGCUGAGGUGUCCCUUGCAACCCUACUUUGCCCGGAUACUUAACGGGCUAAACCUAUCUCCUGGUCAGCUGAAUCCCAAUGGGUGGAGAGUGCUCUCUGGUCUGUUCAUAUUGUGGGACAGAUGUUGCCAGAGCGAGCCCACGGUUGAUGAGGUGAGACACCUGUACCAGCUAAAGAGCAGCCCCAAAGAUGCCGGCUGGUACUACUUCCAAUCUAGCACCAAGAGCAGGAAACCUAUAACCGACCUCCCCACUGGUGGUGGUGGGAAUUGGAAGAGAAAGUUCUUUUUUGCUGGGGGUCCUUGGGGUCAGGUUGCACAAAUGAACGGGAAGGAUUAUCGGGUCCCACCCCGUUUCACGGUCCCAGGUUGCCUGCUUGCUUUUAGAUGUCUUGUAUCCAUAAGUGUUCUUGCUUUAUUGGCUUGUCUCUAACCAAGUGUCUGUUUGUGUUGUAGUUUCUUGGGGUGUUCACUUCCCGCUCCCACCCGACCAGCUCAAACGGGUCGAGGAUGUGCUCGCCAAUUCCUGCUCGAGCCGGGAACUGUUAACUACGUACAACUUGCUCGAGUCUCGCUUGAUACUUCCUGGCCAUAGGAUGGAGGACGCUGUGAUUGGGGCUCUGACCCGAAAACGUUCUCGACCCCCAACCACGAAGAGGGACCAGAGUAAGGAUGCCCCUGUGGCAAAGCGGGCCAACAUCGUGCAGCAGGUCCCACCCUUGAAGAUUUUACCUCCUGCUCCCGUAAAAAUUGGGGAAGCUGGUGGAGCUGCCACAGAUCCUGCUUCCUCUCCUCCUCCUGUCGGGCCCCGAUCUCACUUACCUGACAGCCGAGCAGAACAUCUGGUCCUCUACUUCAAUGAGUUAACUAAACUCGUGAGCAGGAAGGAUCUGGAGGACUUUGACGGCCGCACCUUGGGUGAGUUGGUGGGGGCCAUGCAGCAUAGCGCUUUCCACCUCAGCUGCAUGACCACCUAUUACAAGGCUAAGGUUGGCCGCUAUGACCGGAAGAUGAAGGAGGAUAUUCAAUCGGCGACGACCAGAGCUGACGUUGCCGAGAAGAAAGCAGGGGAGCUGAAUCUCGAGAAUCUGAAGCUGAUGGAGCAAGAAUCACUUGCUCAAGCAAAAGCCAUCGCCCUCGAGGAGGAGCUUAUCAAGGUCAGGGAGGAUCUGCAAAGGCAGAAGACAAUGUAUGAGGCUCAGCUCGAAUCUCUUCGCGACUCCCACCGAGCUCAGGCCGAGAACUUGGAGAGGGAGGCCGACAACCAGUACGACCAGGGACUUCGGUAUUCCUAUCGUUGCAUCAUGGCCGUCCUCGGGAAGCAACACCCUGAUCUGAAGAUGGGUGACCUUGCGGCUGGUGUUGCUCAACAUAUGGACGAGGAGGCGGCCAAGGAGGAUGCCAAAGGGGUAGAGCCGAUCGUGAUAGAGGAGGAAAACUCUCCUCCUCAUGUAGUCCCUGCUGAUGUUGGCGAGGCGAGCACCCACCCCAAUGCCUCUAGUGAUACCCCUCCUGCACCUGAGGAGGUCCAGCCAACCGAUGCCGCUGGGCUCACUGAUCCACCAUCUUCUUGAUAUAUUUCUUGUAUUGUAAUGACAAUGUUUAUGAAGAUUAUUCCCUCUGUUAAUUAUUAACAAAUUAAUAAAAAUGUUUUUGAUCACCUUCUUGUGUCGUAAUUACGAAUUAAUUUUCGUUUGAGAAUCUGCUUGUCUUUGUCUAAACGAGCAGGUUCCGGCUUGGCUCAUGGUUUUGCCACAUGCCUUUGAAGAUUUUUCAAUGCUUGGGAUUCGGUUUGCCUUCGCGCAGUUGAGCAGAUCCUGGCACGCUUGGCUUCUGUCUCGCCAUAAGAUAGGCUUUGAGACUUGACGAGCCUUUGCAUGCCUUGGAUUCUUCAAAGCUCAGGAUUCUGCUGCCUUCUCGUGGCCGAGCAGAUCCUGGCAUGCUUGGCUUCUGUCUCGCCAUAAGACAGGCUUUGAGACUUGACGAGCCUUUGCAUGCCUUGGAUUCUUCAAGGGUUGGGAUUCUGCUGCCUUCUCGUGGCCGAGCAGAUCCUGGCAUGCUUGGCUUCGGUCUCGCCAUAAGACAGGCUUUGAGACUUGACGAGCCUUUGCAUGCCUUGGAUUCUUCAAGGGUUGGGAUUCUGCUGCCUUCUCGUGGCCGAGCAGAUCCUGGCACGCUUGGCUUCUGUCUCGCCAUAAGACAGGCUUUGAGACUUGAUGAGUCUUUGCAUGCCUUGGAUUCUUCAAGGGUUGGGAUUCUGCUGCCUUCUCGUGGCCGAGCAGAUCCUGGCAUGCUUGGCUUCUGUCUCGCCAUAAGACAUGCUUUGAGACUUGACGAGCCUUUGCAUGCCUUGGAUAAUUUCUUGGUUUCAAGCGUAAAAUUGCUUCAUUAAUGGCAGGAUUCGACUUACAUAAAAUUGUUUGGGACAUAAAGCGUAAAAGAUAAACGAUAAUGAGCAUGAGCAGAAAUAGCUCUCAAAUGUGAACAAAUCUUACUGGAAGUAUUUUCGGAGGUGUGCUGCGUUCCAUGGGCGUUUCACCUCGUGGCCGUCCGCGCGAACCAGCCUGUAAGCUCCGGGUCCCGCUAUCUGCUUGACUCUAUAUGGCCCUUCCCAAUUCGGUCCCAGCACUCCUUGAGUCGAAUCUUUGGUGCUCUGAUUCACUCUUCUCAGUACCCAGUCUCCGACCCUGAAUUGCCGUAUGUUCACCUUCUGGUUAUAAUACCGAGCAACCCUCUGUUGGUAAGUGACUGAUCGCUCGGCUGCUUGCUCCCUCCUUUCCGUCAGCAGAUCAAGAUUCAAACAUAUCUGCUCGUCGUUCUCCUGCUCAUUGAAAUGAUCUGUCCGGUGUGUGGUCGUUCCUAUCUCAGCCGGCACGACCGCUUCGUGUCCGAAAGCCAAAGCGAACGGUGUCUCCCCCGUUGCGGUUUUGUGGGUUGUUCUGUAUGCCCAUAGCACACCUGACAGCUCGUCAACCCACGCACCCUUUUUUGCACCAAGCCUGGUUUUCAAAAGCCUCUUGAUGGUCUUGUUGGCUGCUUCUACUUGUCCAUUCGAUUGAGGGUGAGCAGGCGAGCAAUACUUCAGCUCUAUCCCGAGGUUCUGGCAGAAAUCCCUGAAGCUGUGAUUAUCGAACUGCCUGCCAUUAUCCGUUACCAAGGCAUAAGGGAUCCCGUAUCGACAGACCAGGUUUCUCCACACGAAGUCUGUUGUUUUCUUCUCCGUGAUCCUGCUAAGGGCUUCCACCUCUAUCCACUUCGUGAAGUAAUCUAUAGCAACUAUUGCAUGUGUUGCUGCUCCUCGUCCUUUUGGCAAUGGGCCGAUCAGAUCAAUUCCCCAUUGAGCAAACGGCCAAGGGGAGGCCAUAGAGGUGAGCUUCUCUGGUGAUUGGUUGGAGAAAUUUACAAAACUCUGGCAGCUUGCACAACCCCUGGUCUUCUUUUGCGCAUCCUGGUGCAUUGUCGGCCAGAAAUAUCCCUGCCUUAGGACCUUGUGGGCCAGGGACCUCCCGCCAGAAUGAUUUCCGCAAAUUCCUUCAUGUACUUCUCUCAGCACGUAAUCCGCGUCGUCGUCAUCCAAACACCGAAGGAACGGUAAUGUGUAUCCUCGCCGAUACAGUACCCCAUCGAUCAUCGUGUAUCUCGAGGCCUGAGCUCUAAUCUUCCGAGCUCGCAGCUUAUCUGGUGGUAAUACCCCGUCUCUAAGGUAUGAAACUAUCGGGUCCCUCCACGAGCAUUUUUGUUCUAUCCGCAACACCCCCAAAUUCUGCUCGAUACUUGGGCUGGACUUCACUUCUAGAGGGACGGACUUUGGCAUUUUUGGGUCGGCUACUGCUGCCAUCCUAGCCAAAAUGUCUGCUCGACUAUUCUGCUCCCUGGGGAUUUGUAUCACCUCCACUGCUUCGAACUUCCCCAUCAUCUGCCUGACUAUCUUCAGGUACUGUUCCAUCUUCUCCUCUCUUGGUUGGAAUCUUUCACUGACAUGAUUCGCAACCAGCUGGGAAUCAGUUCUGAUCUUAACUCUGUCUGCUUUCACGGCCCUAGCCAAUUCCAGGCCUGCUAUCAAGGCUUCGUACUCUGCCUGGUUAUUUGUGACUGCAAAUUCCAACUUUACAGCAUAAGAGAUCUCCUCCCCCUCUGGGCCUUCCAGGACAAUCCCUGCUCCUGAACCCCGCUCCCCUGAUGACCCAUCUACAGACAUCUGCCAUACUUGAGUUUCGUCAUUGCCUAUAACUGCAUCUUGUUGACCUAAGCAUGUUUCGGGCUCUGUGAAUUCAGCUACGAAAUCGGCCAUUGCCUGGGCCUUUAUCGCUGCGCGGGGUUUAUAGUCUAUGUCGAACUCGCUCAGCUCUACAGCCCACUUGACGAGCCGCCCAGAGGCAUCUGGCUUGUGCAGAGUCUGACGCAAUGGCUGGUCUGUUAUUACCGAGAUCGGGAAGGCUUGAAAAUAUGGCCUCAACUUCCGAGCAGCAACCACAAGGGCAAGUGCCCAUUUCUCCAACGGUGGGUACCUGGUCUCAGCGUCGAGCAGGGCCUUGCUGGUGUAGUAUAUCGGAUACUGAACUCCUUCUUCCUCUCUCACCAGAACAGAACUGGCGGCCCGAUCCGAUACCGCCAAAUACAGAUACAACUUGUCCCCAUUCCUCGGUGUGGACAGCAGCGGAGCUUGCUGCAAGUAUUGCUUCAAGUUCCGGAAGGCUUCCUCGCAUUCUGGGGUCCAUUCUGUUUUCUUUCCCCUCCUUAUCACUUGAAAGAAUGGCUGACACUUAUCUGUAGCUUUGGAUAUGAAUCUGCUCAACGCCGCCAACCUCCCCGUGAGGCCCUGCGUCUCCUUCAGGUUACGAGGAGACGUCAUUUGCACAAUCGCCUGGAUUUUCUCGGGAUUUGCUUCAAUCCCCCUAUGGCUCACCAUGAAUCCCAGGAAUUUCCCUGACUCGACCCCAAAAGCACACUUCUCCGGAUUGAGCUUCAUCUUAUACUUCCUCAAAAGCUCGAAUGUCUCCUCGAGGUGUCUGACAUGUUCCUUCGGGAUCUUGGACUUGGUGAUCAUGUCAUCCACGUACACCUCCAUGGUUUUCCCGAUCAACGGCUUAAAGACUUUGUUCACCAGCCUUUGAUAGGUGGCCCCAGCAUUCUUGAGACCGAAUGGCAUCACCCUGUAACAGAACAAACCUUGGUUAGUGAUGAAAGCCGUGCUCUCCUCAUCCUGCUCGUACAUGGGGAUCUGGUUGUAUCCCGAGAAUGCGUCCAUGAAGCUAAGCAGACCAUGUCCAGCUGUUGAAUCUACUAGCUGAUCGAUCCUUGGUAAAGGGAAGCUGUCUUUUGGGCACGCCUUGUUGAGGUCUGUGAAAUCCACACACAUCCUCCACUUGCCGUUUGCCUUCUUUACCAACACCACAUUUGAUAUCCACUCUGGGUAACUGACUUCCCGAAUGAACCCUGCUCUCAGGAGCUUCUCCACCUCGUCAUUUACAGCCUCAUACCUCUCCUGGUUGAAGCACCUCCUCUUCUGCCUUACUGCCCGAGCACCUUUCUUUAUUGCCAGCUUAUGACACGCUACCUCAGGGUCAAUCCCUGGCAUGUCUUCAUGUGUCCAGGCAAACACAUCAGCAUGAGCCUGUAAGCAUUUCACCAACUCCUGCUUUUGCUCUCCCUUCAGUCUCGACCCGAUUCUGAUCGUCUUUCCCGGGUUCUCUGGUCCCAUGCUUACCGUUUCCAGAUCCUCUACAGGUUCUUGUCUGCCAGUCUUGUUUUCUACUCGGGUAUCGAAGGAUGUUAUCUGCAUUGCCUCCCUUGCUGCCGAGGAGUAGCAGCUUCUUGCGAUCCUCUGGUCUCCUCGUACCACUCCUACUACCCCAUUCACCCGGUACUUCAGAGCCAGAUAAUGGUUGGACAAUACCGCUUUGCUCAUCCUUAAAAACGGCCGACCUAGGAUCAUCUGGUAAGGACCUUCCUCAUCCACUACGACAAAGUCCAGUAUCAUUGUUCUUUCUGUUAGGGGGCUCCCAAUUGUGAUAGGUAGUUCGACCACGCCCAGGGGAACCAGCUUCCCUCCUCCGAACCCCUUCAAGGAGGUGUUGGUGUAUUCCAACUUCCGGUCGGCUAUUCCCAUCUCUUCCAGGGUUGACUUAAAUAACACAUCAACUGAGCUCCCUGUAUCAACCAGUAUCCGGUCAAACUUCUUGCUAGCGACCGUAGCCUUGAUGACUAAGGCAUCCUCGUGGGGGUAUAGGAUCCCUUCCUCAUCCUCAUCCGUCCACAUGAUUGGCACUUGCCUGACCCUUGCCCGUUUGGCUGCUGGGGUGUUGAGGAGUACCUCUUUACUGGUCAUGGCGUACCUAGCAUAAUUUUUUCUCGAUCUGUUUGAAUCUCCGGCCAACGUUGGGCCCCCCGCUAUCACCCUUACUGCGGGCUGCUCGUGCCUCAAGAUUCUAUCACUCUGCUCCCCUUCAUCUGUUGUGGCCACCAUCGGGAAAGUCCCAUCCAUAAACUCGUCCAGGUACCGAUUUCUCACCAAAUCUUCGACUUGGGUCUUGAGAUCUCUACACUCUGCUGUGGUAUGGCCAUGGGUGCCAUGGAACUUACAAUAACGUCCUCUAUCCCUCCUGUUGGGUAGCUUUGUUAUUGAUGUAGGGAGGUGCAGCAGCCCUCGAUCCUUUAUAGCCUCGUACACCUCAUCCAGGGACAUCUUCAAGGGAGUGUACCGCCCAUAGUCCUGGUGCUGGUCGAUCCGAUGUACUGCUCUUUCUCUGUUUGUCCCGCUCUGAGUUGGGGGCGGUAGAAGUACUUCUGGUCUGCUCGUCCUGCUACCGUGGGAAUGUUGAUGAAGACCACCAGAUGCCGGAUCAUUUCUUGUCCAAGGUUCCCUAGCUGGGGAACGAGGAGGUUGCGCCCUGCUGCGCUGAUACUGUGGUGGCCUCUGAUGAGGCUGGUAAGCAGUGACCCUGCCUCCUGCUCCACUACCGGAGGCCUGGUGGUCCCUCCUCCUGAUCGGCCCGUUCCCUGGUAAUGCUUUCAUCUCUCUCCUCCCCAACCCUUCUAUCUGGUCUGUCUUGAUCCGUGCAGCCUUCUCCUCUUCAAUCUCGAUGUCUCUUUUAGCCUGUUCGUAUGCGGCCGCAUACGUUUGAAUAGCUGGGCUUCUCAAAUUGUACCACAGCCUUCCUAUCUUCACCCCUUCUUUCAAUCCCCUUAACGCCUGAGGGUGGUUGAAGGCUCCCAAGUCGAGGACAGCCCGAUGAAACCUCUUGAUGAAUUCCGGAAGGGUUUCUUGCUCCCCCUGUUUCAUGCUUUUUAGCUCCAUCAUGUCAUCUUCCGGUGACAUUGCCCUACUGAACUGCUCCGCGAAUUCCUGGCACAUCUGCUCGAAGGUUUUAAUGCUGCCCCGAGGAAGUUUCAUGUACCAUUCUCGUGCACGUCCCUCAAGGGAUAGUGGGAACACCCUGCACCUUUGGGAUUGAGAUAAUCCUUGUACCCCAGUUAUGUCGUUGAAGCGCUCUAUGUGCAUCAGCGGGUCAGUUCUUCCCGUGUAUCUGAAGUCGGGGAGGCGGAAAUCUCUCGGAAUAACUGCCCUCAUGAUCUCUGCUGCGAGCGGUGAUUCUCCGUCCAGCAUUAUCCUCCAACCAGGGGCUCUGUUCCUCCCUUGCAUAUCGUCAAUUAUCUGCGCUAGUCUGCGCACUUCCUCCUCCAGCUGCCCUGCACGACCAGGGUCACGUGCUGCAACUUGAUCCCGCUCUUGCUCUACAUCUUGCAAGUGUUGCCUCAACUCGGUUUCCUCUGCAUUCACCACCCCGUCGUCCGCGUCACAAGUCUGUCUUGCCGGGGACCGCUCUCUUUCUCUAUGAAAUUCUCCCCGUAGAGGUGCGUUACCUCUCUCACCACCAAAUCUCCCUGUGGUUUGACUUCUCCCCGCACUAUCGGGACCUGGUGCCACUCCACCGCCUCUCACCCUUCCCUCUUGAGUUACCCUUCGCUCGCUCCGUAGCUCAUGCAGGAUGGUUGUCAAGGUCUCCAUCUGCUUUUCCAUCCGUUCCAUCCGGUCGAACAUGACUUUUCCCGUGCUUCACUGACUAUCUCCCUCAGCGUCACGAAAUCGUUAAGCCUCAUAUCACCCCCUUGUGCACUACUUCCUCCUGUCUCCAUUGCUUUUUGCUUACUCCACCCCUCUUCUUGCUAUCAACAGAAGCUUUUUGCUCUGGGUCCCCACAGACGGCGCCAAAAUGUUGAUGCGAGAUUCCGGUUCUCCUCGUUCUACGACCAGGAUCUCUGCUCGAUCAACUUUACCACGACCAGGAGGUCUCCUAGUAAUGCUUCUUCUCCAGAUGUCCCUGCACACACAGACAAGUCAGAGUACGCCGGUUGUUCUCCCGGCGUAAACCCUCCGACGCUCAAGUCAGAUAUGAAGGUUCGGGGAACGCUUGCCACAGGUCUUAUGGCUUUUUCGUGGUUUUCUCUUUUAUCUUAAAAAUGCUAACCCUUUUACCUUCGUUGGCUACCUUUUUAUAGGCUUCUCCGAAUCCCCGUUUUCCGCUUUUUGCCAGACGGUAUGGGACUCUGACUGCUGCGUCAUGGGCGAAGGUGGGAUCUUGCGUGUUACGCCACGGUUCUGGGGAAAGCGUGGCUGUCGUGCCUAGAUUCUCGGGCUGGAGAGCAUGUCUUGCCAACUGCCGUCGACCGGGUCUCCUCGCUUCUCGACCUCUAGCCGGAAUGAUCUUAUGCCUCUUACAGGAAAUUGACCUCGCGGAUGACGUGCUCGUGGACGAGCAUGAUAUUUCUGCUCCUGUUCCCCCGCGCAUCAGGCUUUUACGGAACACACCGGCUCGAGGAACUCUGCCCCCAGAUAUCUGCUCACCAUGCCUGGUCUCGUCGACGUAUUUCUCCUAAACAUCUGCUAUAAUAGCAGUUGUAAAUAUAUGUGUAAUGCAGUAAUAUGAUGAUUAAUCAGUAUUCAAAACACAAUAAAAGUUUCGUACAGAUUUUGAUAUUGAGAGUAACACAAUAAAAGUUUCAUACAGAUUUUGCAAACGAAAAGCACAUAAUACACUUAACUAGGAGGAAAAAUUAAGGUGUAUUUAUUACAAAUUGCUAACAAUAUACAAUUGUAAAAAUCACUCUUAUGAACUCACAAAUACUAGGCAGCAAUAAGAGUAUGAUACAACCAUUCUAAAUGAAAGAGAAUACAACUGUUUUACAACUAUGUCACAUCAAGAGAUAUGUUAGCAGGAUUAAUCCAGAUACCUUCGAACCCAAUUAACGAACUCGAGUCAGAAACCAGGGGCCCCUAACUAAACCUUACAAUCUUGAAGGAAGAAGGAGACUCGUGGUCCAGAUAGGUGACUUACUAGAUCUCCUGCAAAAGAGAAUAUCUAUUGCUUUGAACCUCCAUUGAAAUUUUUUUUUCCCUUUUUCUUGUUUUGACUUGGAACUUUCCAACAUCAUCUAUUUGAUCUUUUUUUAAGGUAAAAUAGCAAUCUAUAGGUUGCCAACAUGUUAUUCUGCCAAACCCCACCCCACCCCCCCGGGGGACAACAAAUCGACCUAGCACACACCUUUCUUCAUUGCCCACACCUACAGAACUAUAAUAAAAAGACUACGUUACUAUUGGGGUAGAGAAAAUAUACAGACUGUAUUAUUAUUACAUCGCAUUUUACUAAUUAACUAGUGCAAGACUUCUUUAGUGUCAAAUCAAGAACUAAUUAGAAAAGACAACUCAUGAUAAUACAGACCUUAAUAAGCAAUUGCUAACAACAUCCCAUAUACUCCUAUUUUAGCCUUCAUUAUCCUGGUAAAAACACAAAUAAGUCUUGCAAACGAACAUUUAUAAGUAAAUUCAACAUUAAUUAAGAUUAGGUAUCUACUGCACCUAAUAGCAUGGUCAACCAUCUAGUUCCUGUAGCCUUCCAUGUACCUAUGUUAGUUACAUUUUACAUAUUAAGCCACGAAAACGAAGAAUCACAGCCUGGUAAAGAAAGACAUUAAUUAAUAGUUUUUGUUUAAAAAGUUCUCCUUUAGAUCUUUCCUAUUCAAUGAAUCAAUGUAAUCUAAAGAGAACUCUUCCAUUUCAAACAGUGUUAGAAGGUAUUUGCAAAGCCUAAAGAUAAUAUACAAGGACCAAGAUAUACACAGAUGGUUUCUUUAUGGAAUUAAAGAGCUUUAUAGAUGUUAAAACUGUUUCAAACAAUUUUUCUUGUUUGGUUUAACUAAGGAAAAGCUUGUGGAAGAUUAAAAAUGAUGUUUCCUAUUCUCUGUAGGAAACUUUUAGGAGAUUUUUUGGGCUUUUUUGAAAGGUUGAAUUGUCAAAAAUACCUUGAUGUUAUUGUUUGCUAAAAGAUGUUACGGACAUCUAAACAACCAACAACAUUUUGUUAAAAGCUCUACUAGUGUAGGAUCUACUUAAAGAAGCUAUACCAAACAGACUCUUAGACUGAAUAACUCGAUCUUAAGUUUGUAAAAUUGGGCUCAGAAUCUCCACUAACAACCCCGCUUCGGUGAGAAAGCCCAAGCCUGUUACUUUGUAUAACCUUAUUCUGUAUGUUUGAUUGCAGGAACUGGCCGAUCAUACCGACGAGGUGAGUGUGCAACAUGAGGUGCUUGACGGGAUGUUUACUUUCUAUGAUUCAACUAAAGCUAGCCUCAACAUAUAUCAGGUGCCUGCUUGUUUUUACCUUCUAGAUACUAAUAUUGUUUAGACGUGUAAUCUCUCUCUCCAUUGAACGCUAGACGGCUCGUCUCAAGCCUUCUACGUACUUCAGAGUCCUUCACUAGCUUUUUAUGUAUAAAGUUUUGAUCUUUUUCCUUCAUUUGCUUGAAGCUCAUUACUGCAGAUUUUUUUUACAGGUUGGUAGUGUAACAUUCGACUUGCUGUUGCUUCUAGUCUUGGGAUCGUAUUUAAUUGUGCUUUUCAGCUUUCUUGUCAUAACAACUAGGGUAUCACUCUUUCUCCAUAUCAAGCUUGAAGUUCUAAAUUUCAGUUUUAUCUUGUAUUUGAUGUUUUAUAAUUUCAUUGCAAACAGAUUAGAAUAGAAACUUCAAAAGUUCCAACUGACUAGUCCCGUGUAACUUUUUCAGGGAAGAUUUUCUCUCAUAACAACUACGAACGUGUUAUGGUUUAGCCCAGUGACACAAAGGACAGUUUUCAACAAUUGAUCCUAGGAAGAUGCCCAUAGCUUGUUGUGCCAAAAAUAGAAAAUCUAAGAUGCGAAAAAAUUUUGUUGAGAUUCAUUUUUCAUCCUGAUGUUACCGCUGGCCUUUUUUUUUUUUUUUUUUGGCAGAGAAUAAUGCUUAUGUGAUUUCUGAACUUGGUGAUUGUUGAAAUGAGCUGAAAAUGAGCUGGAAAUGUGUUUGGUUAAUGAGAAAGAGAGCAAGAAAAUGAAAGAAAUCUAUUUCACUUUUUAUUUAUCAGCAUGAUUACAUUCACAAUGAAUCUAAGCUGCUAUUUAUACUUAAAUGACUACACACGAGAAUCUUCUUGCUAGAUACUUCUAGAAACUCUACACGCACACUCACACUGAGCUAGUGGUUACCAAAACCGUUACAACGAUAUUGCCAGCUCAGCAUAACCAACUUAUAACUAACACACUCAGCUGCAGGGGAAACCAUCAAGCUUACUGUGCGUCCUCUGUAAUCAAGCUUCUUUAAGCAUGCUCUGCAGAUCAUACGUCUGAAUUAUCGAAACAAGAUGAAUUAUUUUUUGUUUAUUGCAGCAGGCGAUCAAUGAGCGGAAUUUCUAGCUUGUAUUCAAUUCGCGAACACAGUUUGAGAAGAAUCAGACCAUUAAUUUUCUUUUGAGCCAAUCAACAGAAUGUACAUUUCUUCUAAGAACUUGUAACCGAAACCGCAGUUUUUCAGGUUUGCUCCUUCCUCAUAGCAGUUAAUCAAACGAUAAACAGAGAUAUCCCAUGUCAACAAGAAGGUAAUCAUAAAAGAACAACAGAAUUGUUGCAACAUAUUCAUAUGAAAUGUAAAACAAUUUUGAGAAAAAAUAUUGGGAAGAUAUUUUUUUUUCAUAGAAGUUGCAAUCUUUACGUUAUUUACUAGUUUGACUAGACUAUAUAAGGAAGCUAUAUGAAAUUAGAAAAAUAAGCUAUACUAGGAAAGAAUAAAUAUGUGUACAGAAAAUUAGGCUAUAAUUUUCAAAUUAGAUGCCAGUUAAUUUUAUCAUAAUUAGAUGGUAAGAUUGCAAAUUCUGCAGCCAAAGGUGGUACGGAACUGAAUGAAGGAAAUCAAAUAUGAACAUGUUUUCAAUCUUAAAAUAUUAAGAGUAGCAUAAGUAACUUGUGAAACAGUUAUAAGUUCAAGGGAAUUAGAUGAUGGCAUGGUUGAAUUUUAUAAAUAUUUGAUAUUUUGGACCGAACAGGGCAAACAGAUGGAUCCAGAUAAUCAAGAAAAACAUCAAUUCCAUGCAACCAAAUGAGUCUAGUCAAAGAAAUUAUUCAAAGAAAUCUCUAGGUCAGUAUCCAAAUAUAUGGCUCCGUCCGUUCCACCACCACAACCAAAAAAAUCAGAUCCCCCCAUUUGGAUUCGAUUGAUUAAUUUGAGCAUAUAAAAUCGGGUUUUAAACUUCCCUAAUCAAAAUUUAUAUUCCACAGAAUCAGUUCCUUUAACAUGAUGCAUUACAUAAUAUUUUGUUUGCAAAAUAAAGAAGAAAGAUGACAUAAUAGAAACACGCUAUUGCAUCUUUUGAAAAAGAAAAACGGAAUAGUUUUCCAAAAUUAAUUCCGAGAAGAAGAUUAACUAAUAAUGAUGUUAGAAAUUUUAAUAUUUGAGUCUUAAUAUUAUGUAUCACUCAUUUAUUAAAUAAUAGAUUUCAUAAUUUGUAAAAUUACUUAACCACUUGAUAAAUGUUAUAUUUGUUGGGACUAAAUUGGAACUUAAAUGUUGGAAUAUCUAGUAUUGCAUUAAAAAAUAAAUAAAAACUUAACAAUUUAUCUUCACUUGACUAAUUGUUUUUACAUCACAACUAACCUUAAUUAUUUUGAAAGUUACAGUAUUAUUAAAUUGUCCUAACUGGUUAUCCAAAGUUGAAGCAUGUUAAAAUAAAAAAAAUUACUAAGAAACAUGUGCUUAAACAGAGGUUAAAGCUAUGAACAAUUAAGAAGAAACUCUUAAUUUGGUCCCAGUUAGUAUAAUAAUCAUCUAUUGAGCGGUAAAAUAUUAAUUUUAAUAGUGAUGAAAUCCAAUAAAUAAUAGAUUACUAACACACAUAAAUUAAAACUUAACUGUCUGAAAUCAUAACAUUACUCUACUCUUCAGUGGAGUUCUCUUAAACAGAUUAUGUGAGAUUGCCUACAUUAAAAAUAUGUUAAGACUGCUUGUUGAAAGCAAUAUUCGCUUUUCCAUUAUAUCCAUAACUUUGAAUUGAUAAAGUUGUAUUCAGCAGCUCUUGAAAAGACUAAUUUAUUUUAACUAGUCAUAGAAAUAAGAGAGAAAAGGGGCUAUUUCUUGACUCAAAGUCAAUUAUAAUUAUCAAAACUUGAGGGGACAUCGCAUGCCUAAAUUCCACGCACCCUAAUACGGUUUGAUUUGCUUUCACGCGUUCAUGAAUUUCCAUGAAAGAGCCUGCCUUUCGUCUCUUUCGGGACAGUGACUACAAUAAUGGAAAAAAUUAUAAUUCUCGUUAGAUUGUAACCAAAUUAUUAUCCCUAAUUUUUUUAAGUUACAUAUAAUAAAAUUCAUGCUUAAGUAUUUAGUAAUUAGAGAGAGAUAGAGAGGAUUGAGGGCCAAUGUUUCGCGAUUUGGGGUCAAUUCAAAGUCAACUAACGUGUAAAACACGUGUAUGCAUAGAAAACGCUUAGAUUAUUUGUGUUCCAAGAAAGAAAGAAGACCCAUCACCUUCUUCGUGACAACAAAUGAAUGAAUGAUGUUGAUAUGACAAAUACAAGCGCUAUUACAGGGAACAGCAUAAGAUCGAGACUUGAUAAAGGGUUUGUUAAAUUACAUGUUAUUUUCUUUUGACUUGAAUGAUGUUGAAGAGAAAAAUCAAAUAACAUUGUAAUCAGGGUGAUGUGUGGAAUAUAGUGAAAUAAAUAAAUAGAGAAGAGAAAUUCGUUGAUCAAUAUUCAAGAACUCAUCCAAAGUGAUCGUCAAAGUCUAGAGGUUCGGUAUGAUUAGCAUUUAUUAUUAUUUUUUUUGGCUUAACAUCAUAUAUAGUCACCUGUCGUGUGAUCUAGAACAGGUUUAGAAAUCCUUUUAUUUUAACUUCCGUAUUCUUAUUAUUUAAUUAGUUAUAGGGUUCUUCAGUAUUUGAGUAUUGAUCACAUGUCUCCUAAUCUAAAAAUAUGUUUUUACGAGUACAAAUAACAAACUAGGAUUUUAACAGCCUUUUAUACUAAACCCUAAAAAUACAUGAAUUUAUCAAAAUAAGUAAAUUAAUUUAAAUUGGUAUGGCAUAAUAAAAGUUUUACCUGCCGAAACAAAUUAAAAAAAUAUUACACUUAAAUCAAAUAUUGACAAAAAUAGAUAACAAUCUAAUGAGAAUCUUAACUAGAUAUUUUUACUUCUAUCCAAUUUAACUGGAACGAGAAUUAAGUCCUUUCAAUAGUUAGGACUCAUAACUCAUACACGCUAGUUUGAGAGUGUGGGGUGUGACAAUGGGCCAAAAGACCAUUGACAAGUACAAAAGAGUGGUCGCAAUUAAUUCAAACCGCUACACACGCUAUUGCGUCUUUUAAAAAAAAAAUGGAAUAGUUUUCCAAAAUUAAUUCAGAGAAGAAGAUUUACUAAUAAUGAUGUUAGAAAUCUUAAUAUUUGAAUCUUAAUAUUAUGUAUCACUCAUUUAUUAAAUAAUAGAUUUCAUAGUUUGUAAAUUUACUUAACCACUUGAUAAGUGUUAUAUUUGUUGGGACUAAAUUGGGACUUAGAUGUUGGAAUAUCAAGUAUUGCAUAAAAAUAAAAAAUAAAAACUUAACAAUUUAUCUUCACAUGACUAAUUGUUUUUACAUCACAACUAACCUUAGUUAUUUUUUAAAGUUAUAGUAUUAUUAAAUUGCCCUAACUGGUUAUCAAAAGAUGAAAGCAUGUUAAAAUAAGAAAUUACUAAGAAACAUGUGCUUAAACAGAGGUUAAGGCUACGAACAAUUAAGAAGAAACAACUUACAAUCAAAGGUUAAGAUUAUGAACAAAUUAAGGAAGGUAUUGAGCAGAUAAAGGGACGAAAUCAUUGUCUGAAUUGCCGGUGACAAGAAUGCUUGUGUUGUGAAAAGAAACCUGAUGGUUUGUAAAUGGGUUGAAUUUUUUAUUCGGUCGCUCCAACUGACUUACUAAUGCCAAAUUUAUUACUUUGCACAGUAGUGUUUAGGAUCCUCAAGAUCAACUCUUAAUUUGGUCCCAAUUAGUGUAGAAAUCAUCUAUUGAGCAAUAGAAUAAGAAUUUUUCUAGUCAUGAAAUUCAAUAUAUAAUAUAUCCUUGACACACAUCGAUUAUAACUUAACUGUUAGAAUUCAUAACAUUACUCUACUCUCAAGGGGAGUUCUCUUAACAUAUUAUGUUAGGUUGCCUACAUUCAAAAUAUGUUAGGCUGCUCUUUGAAAACAAUAUUCCUUUUUCCGUAACUUUGAAUUGAUCCAAUAGCUCUUGAAAAGCACAUAAUAAUCAUUAUAAAUUUAAUCAAAGACUAAGCAGGUCUUCUUUCCAUUUGAUCACUCGCAUUUCAGUUAAGUUUGUCGUUUACUUAAAUUUUUCUUGCUUUCAAUUUCCACUGUUGUUUUUUUUUAUAUAAAAUAAUUUAUUUAAACUAGUCAUAGAAAUAAGAGAGAAAGGGCGCCAUUUCUUGACUCAAAGUGAAUUAUAAUUAUCAAAACUUGAGCGGACAUUGCAUGCCUAAAUUCCACGCACGCUAAAACGGUUUGAUUUGCUUUCACGCGUUCAUGAUUUUCCAUGAAAGAGAGUGCCUCUCGUCUCUUUCCGGACAGUGACUGCAAUUAUGUUAACGUGACGAAUACAAAACGUUAUUACAUACAAGAAUAAGUUUUUGGACCCGAGACUUGAGGGAGGUUCUAUCUAAUUCUAAAGAUUGUAACCAAAUCAUUAUCCCCAAAUUUUUUCAGUUAAAUAAAAUAAAAUUUAUGCUUAAGUAUAAAUAAUUUUUUAAAGUUAAAUAUAAAAUAAAAAAAUUCAUGAACUUCCUAGAAAGAAAGAAGACCCUUCACCUUCUUCGCGACAACAAAUGAUGUUGACAUGACAAAUACAAGCUCUAUUACAGGGAACAGCAUAAGACCGAGACUUGAUAAAUAUUAAAUAUAUAAAAUAAGUGGAGCAAACGAACAGAAUAAUAGAUAUUUUAUAAUAUUCUUCAUAAAAAUCCAUGUUUUGAGCCUGCCUAUAAGCUUAUCUAGUGAAGUCUGGGUAUCCGCGUUGCCCAAGGUUCCGUUUGAAUCCAGGCCGUGUAGAUGUUUAAGACAUCGCAUAUGGACGGAGUGGAAAUAUUUUCAGUUGACUGAAUUAAAUAAAAAUAUAUUACAAUCAUAUUAUAUAUUAGCAGCAAAAAUAAAAAGAAAUGAAGAAAAACGCAUGCAAGACUUAGACAAGUCAAUUAAAAGCUGGGAGUAUCAUCAGUUCAAUUGGUUAUAAAUAGCGUAGAGCCAUCCUCUCGUUGUUGCAGAACUGAAGCAAAGAGACUCAGAAAGAGUGUGUGUAGGUGAUUAUAAUUAAGAAGAUAUAAUGUGUGGUUCAAAAAGAGUGUGGGUGAGUGAGUUAAUUUUCAUAUUAUUAGUAGUAAAAGGGUGGUGGAGUGAGGGAUGUUUGGAGCAAGAGAGGUCUGCUCUCCUACAACUCAGACAUUUCUUCAAUGAUGAUCAACUUCUUCAAAACUGGGUAGACGAUGAGAAUUAUUCAGAUUGUUGUCAGUGGGAAGGGGUUGAGUGCAAUAACACCACUGGCAGAGUGAUUGAAUUAUAUCUAGGAUAUACUCGGAAAUGGGAAUCAGCAGAGUGGCAUAUGAAUGCUUCUCUGUUUACUCCCUUUCAACAAUUAGAGUCUCUUGAUUUAAGUUGGAACAAUAUAGCCGGUUGUGUUGAAAAUGAAGGUCCUUAAUUUACUUUAUUUUAAUUCUUCCUCCUCGUAAUUUCUUACAUCUAUCUGAUCCCUUUUGGCUUUUGUUUAAUUUGUACGUGAUACAAUAAAAUUACUUUUUAUUUUUUGUCAGGUCUAGAUAGGUUAUCAAGGUUGAAGUUUCUUUAUUUAGACUAUAACUGCUUCAACAACAGCAUCGUUUCAUCUCUAGGUGGUCUUUCAUCACUCAGAAACUUAUCAUUGGCUGGUAAUGAAUUGGAUGGAAGUAUUGAUAUUAAAAGUAAGUACGCUUCAACCCUUCUCCCCUGUCCCAUCUUUUGUAGAUCUUAUUUCACUGAGCAGCUGGAAGUAUUGAUACGAGAUCUAGCUAGACUCUUGUGAGUUUAGGCUUCAAGGCUUUGAAUAUUAUAAAAAUAAGUUAAAGAAAUUAUCGAUAUAUGCAAUUUUCAAUGCUUCUCAUAAUCAGACACAAUUCAAUCUAAUUAUUUCGUAUGUCCUGUCUUCAAAAGUAAAGAAUUGUACACUAAUUGGAAAUCGACAUCGUAGCUUUUUAUUUUCUAUAAUGCUCUUUUUUCGUUAACGAGUUUAUAUCCUAAGAGGGAUUGGAUUGAAAAAAAAAAAGUUUUGAUGUUCAAUGUAAGCCAUGAUAACCUGCAUCUUAUUUGUCUGCCGACAUCCAAAUUUGUGCACUGAAUUUAGUAUUUUGGUUAUUGUGAAGGGAUCAGAUAUUGGCUUCCAUAGACCAACUUGUAUUUACUUAAUUAAUUAAUUAACGACAUUUAGUAUUUAACAAAUUAAAAUUUCAUGUUUAAUCGAUUUUAAUUUUUUUAAGAAAAAAGAAAAAGAUAUAACAGCAUGUAAAGCUGAAAUAAAUUUUAAUUCCUUACAAAUUUAAAUUCAUGGUUGUCAGCUAAAUAUACCUGCUUAAAGCCACUCUUUUCGCUGAGAUUUAACCAAAAAAAAAAGGAGAAAAUAAUUUAUUUAAUUAACUCUGUUUUAAGUGUUGGAAUAAAUACAGGACUGGAAUCCUUGAGUAACUUGGAGAUGCUGGACAUGAGGGACAAUGCAAUCGACAAUCUAGUGGUUCCUAAAGGUAUACAAAAUGACACUAACCCAAAAUAAUUUAAUCCGAAAUUGUAUCCCAAAUAGAUUACAGAGGUUUGAGGAAGUUGGAUACCCUUUAUUUGGGGGGGAAGGGAAAUUGCAGUGAUAUAUGGAAGCAAGGUGUUGCAAUCAAUAAAGAAAUUCAUAGGGUCAAUAUUAAAGGACUCUCCUCCAACUCAAACAUUUCUCAAAUAGAUUAUUUAAUCUGAAAUAGUAUCUCAAAUAGAUUAUAGAGGUUUGAGGAAGUUGAAUACCUUUUAUUUGGGGGGGAAGGGAAAUUGCAGUGAUAUAUGGAAGCAAGGUGUUGCAAUCAAUAAAGAAAUUCGUUGGUCAAUAUUCAAGACUCAUCCAAAGUGAUCGUUAAAGUCUAGAGGUCUGCUCUCCUCCAACUCAAACAUUUCUUCAAUGAUGAGAAUUAUUCAGAUUAUGGUCAGUGGGAAGCGGUUGAGUGCAACAACACCACUGGCAGAGUGAUUAAAUUAGAUCUAGGAGCCACUAGGAAUCGGGAAUCAUCAGAGUGGCAUAUGAAUGCUUCUUUGUUUACUCCCUUUCAACAAUUAGAGUCUCUUCAUCUAAUUGGGAACAAUAUAGCCGAUUGUGUUAAAAAUGAAGGUCCUUAAUUUACUCUAUUUUAGUUCUUCCUCGUAAUUUCUUACAUUUAUCUGAUCCCUUUUGGCUUUUGUUUAAUUUGUACGUGAUACAAUAAAAUUAUUUUUUAUUUUUUGGCAGGUCUAGAGAGGCUAUCAAGGUUGACCAACUUGAAGUUUCUUCAUUUAGACUAUAACUGCUUCAACAACAGCAUCUUUUCAUCUCUGGUUGGUCUUUCAUCACUCAAACGCUUAUCAUUGGCUAGUAAUGAAUUGAAUGGAAGUAUUGAUAUUGAAGGUGAGUAAGCUUCAUCCCUUCUCCCGUGUCCCAUCUUUUGUGGAUCUUAUCUCAUUGACGGGUUGGAAGUAUUGAUACGAGAUCUAGCUAGACUCUUGCUAGUUUAGGCUUCAAGGCUUUGAAUAUUAUAAAAAUAGGAUUAAGAAAAUAUCAAUAAAUGCAAAUUUCAAUGCUUCUCGUAAUCAGACACAAUUAAAUCUAAUUAUUUUGUAUGUCCUGUCUUCAAAAGAAAAGAAUUGUACACUAAAUGGAAAUCGACAUUAUUGUUUGCUUUUGAUUAGUGGAUCAAAAAUCGACUAAUUUUGAUUUAACAUAAAAAUAAAAAAGAGAAAAUAAGUUAUUUAAUUAACCCUGUUUUAAGUGUUGGCAUAAAUGCAGGACUGAAUUCCUUGAGUAACUUGGAGGAGCUGGACAUGAGCGACAAUGCAAUCGACAAUCUUGUGGUUCCUAAAGGUAUACAAAAUGUUCAAAUAUUAAUAAUUUGGAGGACAGUUUAAUUGAUUUGAUUAGGGAAUGCCCAAUGACACUUACCCAAAAUAAUUUAAUCUGUAAUUGUAUCCAAAACAGAUUUCAGAGGUUUGAGGAAGUUGAAUACCCUUCGUAUAGGGGGAAGCAGAAUUCGAAUGAUAGAUGGAAGCAAGGUGUUGCAAUCAAUAGGAUCACUACCGUCCCUCAAAACACUUGACCUUUGGUAUACUAAUUUUACGGGAACAGUAGUUAAUCAAGGUAAGUAAAUCUUUUAUGUCGAAAAUAAUUGAAUUAAUAUAUAUAGCUAAAAUUUAUUGUUUCUACUUCUUUCUAAAUAGAGUUGCACAAUUUCACCAACUUGGAAGAAUUGAUAUUGCUCGGGUCUCAUCUCCACGUAAGCCAGCUUCUGCAAAGCAUCGCAUCAUUCACUUCGUUAAAGAAUUUGUCAAUGCCAGUUUGUACCCUUACAGGUGCCGUACAUGGUCAAGGUAAAUUACGGGUAUCUGAAGCUUUUAUGAUAUUAAUUCGAUAAUAAUUCUUUCUUUUCAAGUUAAUUUUCUCCCGUAAAAUAAUAUUUUUUUCUUUUAAAUUUUAUAUAUUUUCACCGUCCAAUAGAAGAGUAAAGAAAAAUAAGUAAAUUAACCCAAAAAAAAGAAAAGAACAAGACCGGAUUAUCCUUAUUCCCUUGCAUUAUGCGAUCAAUAUCAAAAUUAUAACCAUUUCUUGUUUAUUGCUUGUAGAUUUUCGUAAAUUCAAGAAUUUGGAACAUCUGGACAUGGGUGGGGUGCAAGUUGAUGUCAACACCAGUUUUCUUCAAAUUGUCGGCGAAUCAAUGCCUUCUCUUAAGUUUUUAUCACUGGCAGAUUCAAGUCUUAAUAAAAACACCAUUCUUGAUCAAGGUUAAUUAAUGAUUCUCAUUCUCCCUCUCUCGCAUCAUAACUAAAUUUAAUGGAGAAUAUCUAUAAUGCGAGCUAUUUAUAAACUUAAUGAAAGAUGAUAAGGAGCCAUAAUAAUGACAAAAAUAAUUGUAAAAUAGUGCACUGUUGUAGUGUUGAUUGAAAAAUAAUGCUAAUGUUUUACCUAACAACACUAUAACGUCGGAUAAUUUUUAAUAUGUACUUUAAACUAUCAGUACUCAAACUAUCAGUACUCAAACUUAAUUUUUAAUAUGUACUUUAAAGAUUUUAUGCAAUUAUUUAAGUUUUAUGCAAUUAUAUUUUUCAGGACUUUGUCGGUUAGUGCAUCUGCAAGAGUUAUACAUCAGCAGUAAUGAUUUGAGAGGUAGCUUGCCAUGGUGCUUGGCAAAUUUGACUUCCCUUCGAGUAUUAGAUGUCUCUUACAAUCAACUAACUGAAAACAUCUCCUCAUCUCCCCUCAUGCAUCUAACAUCUAUCGAAGAGCUCAUACUUUCAAAUAAUCACUUCUUCCAAAUCCCUAUUUCACUUGAACCACUUUUCAAUCUCUCAAAACUCAAGACUUUCGAUGGUGAAAUAUGCGCAGAAACUGAGUCACAUUAUAAUUCUUUGACCCCAAAAUUCCAACUGACUUCUAUCUCACUGUCUGGUUACAUAGAUGGUGGCACAUUUCCCAAAUUCUUGUACCAUCAGCAUGACUUGAAGAAUGCUGAUCUCUCACACCUUAACUUGAGUGGAGAAUUUCCAAAUUGGUUGCUAGAAAACAAUACAAACUUAGAGACGCUUCUUCUUGCCAACAACUCUCUUUUUGGAUCAUUUCGGAUGCCAAUUCAUUCCCACCAGAAUUUAGCAACAUUGGAUGUCUCUAAAAAUUUCUUUCAAGGCCAUAUUUCGGUGGAAAUCGGAACAUAUCUGCCAGGUUUAAUGGAUUUAAACUUAUCUAGAAAUGCUUUCAACGGUAGCAUUCCCUCUUCAUUUGCUGAUAUGAAAAUGUUGGAAAGGUUGGACAUAUCCUACAAUCAGUUGACUGGUGAAAUCCCAGAGCGCAUGGCCACAGGUUGCUUCUCAUUAGAAAUUCUUGCAUUGUCAAACAACAGUUUGCAAGGUCAUAUAUUCUCUAAAAAAUUUAGCUUGACAAAUUUGACGACGUUGCAGUUGGAUGGUAAUAAAUUCGCUGGAGAGAUCCCAGAAAGCUUAUCUAAGUGCUAUUUGUUAGAAGGAUUAUAUCUGAGUGAUAAUCAUCUCACUGGUGAGAUUCCAAGAUGGUUGGGUAAUUUGUCAGCUUUGGAAGAUAUUAUAAUGCCCAAUAACAAUCUUGGAGGGCCAAUUCCAAUCGAGUUUUGUCAGCUUGAUUCUCUGAAGAUUUUAGACCUUUCAAACAAUAGUAUUUUCGGAACCUUACCAUCUUGCCUUAGUCCAGGAUCUAUUGAACAACUUCAUUUGUCAAAAAACAAGAUAGAAGGACGAUUGGAAAGUAUAAUCCAUGACAGCCCUUAUUUGGUGACAUUAGAUCUUAGUUAUAACAGCUUACACGGAAGUAUUCCAAAUCGGAUUGACAGACUACCUAAGUUAAACUACCUUCUUUUGGCUAAUAAUUAUAUUGAAGGCGAAAUACCAGUUCAAUUAUGCCAUUUGAAGGAAGUGCGGUUGAUUGAUCUUUCUCAUAAUAAUCUAUCUGGUCAUAUUCCUCCUUGCUUGGUUAACACUUCACUCAGUGAAGGUCAUCAUGAGGCAGUAGCUCCAACUCCAAGUGGAUCUUCGAUGGGAAAGGAAGAAACUGUACAGUUCACAACAAAGAAUAUGUCCUACUAUUAUCAAGGAAGAAUUUUGACGAGUAUGUCUGGGAUUGAUCUUUCUUGUAACAAACUGACAGGUGAGAUUCCUACUCAAAUUGGAUAUCUUACUAGGAUUCAUGCACUAAAUCUAUCUCAUAACAAUUUGACGGGCACAAUCCCGACAACAUUUUCAAACCUGAAGCAAAUCGAAAGCUUGGACCUCUCCUACAACCUACUGCAUGGGAAAAUCCCUUCUCAGCUCACCGUGCUAACUACAUUGGCGGUCUUCACAGUAGCAUACAAUAACUUAUCAGGCAAAAUCCCAGAUAGAGUCGCACAAUUUUCAACUUUUGAGGAAGAUAGCUAUGAGGGGAAUCCUUUUCUUUGUGGAUGGCCACUGUCUAAAAGUUGCAAUGAUAGUGGAUUAUCAGCAGUGACACCAGAAGCUUACACUGAUAAUGAAGAAGGUGAUAGUUUAAUUGACAUGGACAGUUUCCUGAUCACUUUUACAGUAUCUUAUGGAAUUGUGAUAUUAGGAAUUAUUGGAGUUUUGUACGUAAACCCCUAUUGGCGGCGAAGAUGGUUUUACCUUGUUGAAGUGUGUAUGACCUCUUGCUACUAUUUUGUGGCAGACAAUCUUGUUCCUAGAAGAUUCUAUGGUGGAUGGAUGUAAUUUCAUUUACUUUACAACUUAUAUGUUAUUUUUAAAGAAUUUUCUUUUGCAUGCAUGGAAUAGCAACUCAAUAAAAGUAUUUGAUGCAAAUUGUCCAAGAACAACUUAGUAAUUUCAUUGCUACUAUUCGGUUGUAUAUAUACAGUUAAUGAAAUUUUUAAUCAUUCGCAGUAGGAAUUUCUUUAAAUGGCGGCCAAAACCAACAGAUUUGGGGCUCUACCUCUACACAUCAUAACAGGCAAAAGGUCUCUCUUUUACACUAUCUGAAUGAAGAUUAGCUUACGCCCCUGGAGUUCUCUAUUAAACUUGACGGUUGAGAUUUCAGGUCCAGAUGAAAGUUAAAUGCAGGCGACGAGACUACACUUUAAGUAAACUGGGACAAACUUAAAAUAAAUAAAAAUUAUAGUCCAGGGUAAGAGUAAUGGGUAGCUCAACUUAUGGAGUAUAACUAGGACUUGGAAUAACUAUCAGAUUUGCAACUCUUGUUAUAUGCUUGGGAGUUACAGUAAUCGAUUCAUUUCCUCCAUUUCUGAUGGUAACCCAGCUCUAUACAAGAACAAUCAGAGAAGGUUCAUUUAAGAAAUUUCACAACCCACGCUUUUUUUUCCUUUUUGCCCUCUUCCUCACAAUAAAAACACCUAACACACCAAGCCGUGCACAAAAUAGUCCUAUUUUAUUCAUGUCAUGAAUCCAAAAACUAUCCCAGCUCACUUUGUUUAACCAGCAUAACUAAAUUGUGGGUAUAAAUGAACACACUUUCGAAGCCUGUAACUUAUAAUAAGCUCAAACCCAAAAAUGACAUUUAAAUCCUGCAAGUGUUUUUCAUCAUCCCUAACAAAAAGAAACAAGAAUAAUUAUAUACCAAUAAUUUUUCCAUAAAAAAUACUGAUACCAAUAAUUUUUCCAUAAAAAAUACUGAUUUGAGUUGAAACACUAUACAAACUGGGUUUUAUACACUUGCAGAAAGCUACACGAUAGACAAAAUCUAGCAGCUACAUAAUGGUAUCACUUUCAGCUGGUCAUGAAUGGUGUGCAUUCAGCAGUGCUCGAUAGACCAUGUCUAUGAAUUGAUUGUCCUAUUACAUAUAAAAGCUGGUCAGCUAUACAAGGAAAAAAAUAAUAAUUGAAAAUGCAUCACAAAAAAUAAGUGUCUCGCAUUAGUGUUUGCACUCUAAGCAUGGCAAAGUGGUGCGGGUUCAUGAUUUUGAAGACUGGGAUAAGUGAAAAAUAGUUCAAUCCACUGAUGAACAUAAAUUUAUUUACAUGUCAAUUUAGAUAUCAUAAAAAAGUAAACAGUAAUUCACAGUCACUUAAAAGAGUUGAUAAAAUGCGUGCCGUGAAUGCAUUUUUGUACAUAAGAAAUCCAAAGAGUAUUUCUGACAAUACAAAUAUGCUAGCUUUAAAUCUGCUGUCAAUAUGCAAUUAAGAAGAUUAUACCAGCUGCAUGAUAAAGUUCCCCUAAUCUUAAUAACAGUAAACAUGAACAUGUCAGAUGCAAUUAUAGCUUCGAGCAUUUGCAUAACCAGAAAUCCUAACCUGAACAAGCACCAGAAGUGUCUCUCGGACUUUCUCCUUGUUGAUAAAUGGUCCGCUGUUUGAAGUAAGAGCAGGAGUAAGAGAUGGUGGAGGGGUUGGUAGUGGAAAAGGUUGAAGCAUUGGGGCACCAUAUGGGCGUUGCAGACUCAGGGGAGGAUUAAGUGGCGGAGCUGUUGGUGUAGAUGAAGAGACAAGCUGCAUCAUCUGUGCAUAGGAGGAUGGAGGAGGAACAAAGAAUAAGGAAGGCUUUACAAGAUUAGGGGUAGGUGCUGACAGAGGUGGAGAUGGUAUUUGCAAGGUUGGCACGAUAGGAGAAGCAACACUGGCGGGAUGAGAAGGUAAAGAAAUAGUUGUAUUGGACUGGUAAGGUUGUGCAGAGAUUGCUGCAUUAGAAGUAUUCCCCACAGUCAAAGCUGUCUGCAAUGAUAAGGACAGAUGUCAUAUACAAGGACAAGUGAUAACAUAUGAAAAUAGUAUGACUUGCUGCAGUUUUGUGGUAAUGUUGCAUACUUAUGCAGAAACAUAUUAUUUCAAAGAAAACAUACACUGAAGUAGUUCACAAAAGCAGGAUCUUCAGGAACAUCAGCAGCAUUUGAGGGAGUUGACUCUAGAGGACCAUCCAUAACUGCCAUAGUUGGAACAGCUUCCAGUUCCUCAAACUCACUGCAGUUUAACAUAAAAGGAACUUGAUGACCAAUUUAAGUAAUAAUUAGAUGAUAUAAGAGGUUAGGGAAAAUGAUGAGUGGACCCUUAUGGAAGGUGAUUUCACCUUAGCUAAACACGAAAAUAAAAAGAAAUCAAAGCUGAAUCCUCGAGUGCAAUGCAAAGAAUUUUUUCUCGCUCUUCUCUAACUCCUCUUAUUCGAAAUUGCUCAUCAUUGUGCUGUUCUUCGAGUUUUCGCUAGAGUAGAGAAAGCUAUUCUCUCGUUAAGUGCAGAGGAAAGAGAAGGGCAAGGGCCUGGUAUGAUGCUAUUCUAUAGGAAGUGAGAAGGUGAAGGGUUAAAAUAUUUUGUAAUUUGGAGGUGGUGUUUGUUAGUGUGUGUGUACUUCUGAAUUUAUUACCUCUUUAGGAUCCAUAGAAAUUGCCUCUUGUUCAGCAUGCACUGUGCCUACGAGUAAGACGAGCUUGCAUGGUAUCUAUUGUCUAUUUACUUGGAUAUUCAAACAUGACUACCAGCCACCAAACACAAAUCCCCAAACAAAACACUCUUUCAAGUGCAAGGAAAGAGUAACUUGGGCAUAUUUAUAGUUCAAGCACUACAAUAACUAAGAAUGUGAUGACUGUCCACAAACACUAUAUCAGUGCCUUUUGAACUACAUUACAUGCUCGAAGACUUUUUUUUUAGUCAUACAUAAAUUAGCUAUAAAAUUAAGACCGUUAUACAACUAAAAAGAAAGAAAAAUUGUUUGCUACUACAUAUCAAAACUGGUAAUAGCAAUGUAAGAUGGCAGACUUCUUACUUAAACAGAUGAGAGGCUACAAAUAAAAAAUUUGUGCAAAUAAAAUAUAUGAUAGAGAGCAUAAUACUUUCUUGGGGGCUAAAAAUAAUAUACAACUUGUGAAAUAUAAAUUGAGCUACCAUUACCUUUUAGAUGUGGCAACUUUCGACUUUUGAGGCACCUUGGAAUAUGCAUUCAGAAUCCUGCAUUUGGAAGCCAAAUAAAUAAUGUUAAUAACAAUUUUACAAUAGAAAAAUUAAAAAUUGAUAAAUGGCAGUUGUAAUUUAUGUAUGCGUAAAGAUAGCUUCACAUCCAGGGUCCUCCCAUAAACAUGCUUGUAACAAGAAUUAGUUUGUCCAACUGUUAGCAACUGCUAACAAUAUACAAUAGUAAAAAUCACUCUCAUGAACUCAACAAUACUAGGCACCAAUAAGAGUAUGAUACAGCCAUUCUAAAAUGGAAGAGAAUACAACUGUUUUACAACUAUGUUGCAUCAGGAGAUAUGUUAGGAGGAUUAAUCCAGAUACCUUCCAACCCAAUUAGGAAAACUCGAGUCAGAAACCAGGAGCCGCAACCGAACCUUACAAUCUUGAAGGAAGAAGGAGACUUGGGGCAUUUUUCCAGAUAGGUGACUUACUAGAUCUCCUGCCAAGAGAAUAUCUAUUGCUUUGAACCUCCAUUGAAAUUUCUUUUCCCUUUUUCUUGUUUUGGCUUGGAACUUUCCAGCAUCAUCUAUUUGAUCUUUUUUAAAGCUAAAAAAGCAAUCUAUGGGUUGUGAACAUCUUAUCACCACCCCCCCCCCCCCCCCGGGCCCCCAAAAAAAAAUCAAUGAGUUGUCAAUAAAUAGCGCCUACUCAAAUGUUUUCCAAUGGAUGACAAUGUGCAAAUCGACCUAGCAGCCACAUUUUUCCCCCCUUUCAACCACCAUUAGGCAACUUUUCUAACCUUUCUUCAUUGCCCACGUGUACAGAACUAUCAUAUAAAGACUACAUUAUUAUUGGGAUGGAGAAAAAUAUACAGACUAUAUUAUUAUAUCUCAUUUUAUUAAUUAACUAGUGCAAGACUUAUUUAGUGUCAAAUCAAGAACUAAUUGGAAAAGACAACUCAUGAUAAUACAGACCUUAAAAAGCAAUAGCUAGCAACACCUCAUAUACUCCUAUUUUAGCCUUUAAUAUCCUGGUAAAAACACAAUUAAGUCUUGCAAAAGAACAUUCACAAGUAAAUUCAACAUUAAUUAAGAUUAAGUAUCUACUGCACCUUCAAUCAAUGACUGGGUGAAUAGCAUGGUCAACCAUCUAGUUCCUGUAGCCCUCCUUGUACCUAUGUUGGUUACAUUUUACAUAUUCAGCCACGAAAAUGAAGGAUCACAGCCUGGUAAAGAAAGCCAUUAAUUAAUAGUGUUUGUUUAAAAAGUUCUCGUUUAGAUCUUUCCUAUUCAAUGAAUCAAUGUAAUCCAUGGAGAACUCUUCCAUUUCAAGCAGUGUUAGAAGAUAAUUGGAAAGCCUAAAGAUAGUAUACAAGGACCAAGAUAUCGAUUAGGUCAAAUAGUGAAUGUCAAAUAUAAAAAAUAAAUAAAAGAAGUUGUACAUGAUCAUUUACUAUCAAGUUCUGUAAAAUUGAAAAUACCAUUAUCACUGUAGAGAUUCUCAAACAACUCUUUAGCAAAUUAUAAAAUAGUUAAAAAAAGAACAAAAGUUUUUUUUUAAAAAAAGAAGAACAUCCAUAUCAGGAGAUGUUUUUCUUCUCAAUCUCAAUAUUUUCUAGCCGUGAAGCAAUUGAAAAGCUUAACACUAAGUGAAUUAUUAAGAAUUCAUCAUUUAAAUUCCCAAAUCGCAAAAUGUUGGUGCAACUAGGAAAGUGCAAAUGCAAUCACUUAACUAACACAAGAAACACCAAUAGUGAGAGCCCACUUUGUAUCAAAUUUGAAACAGAUAGAGGUCAAAAAAAUUAUACACUCAAUUAAAAGCCUUUCAAACAGCUUUUGCAUGGAACAAGAACAAAUCAAAGGCAAUGUGAAUGUAUUCAAAGACUAAUUUACAAUGAUCUACAGGACAUAAAUAUCUUGGAUACCUACUCUCUAUACCUUACUGUCCCACUAGAAAUCAUCAAAUCCCUCCAAACAAAAAUGACAAAAUGGAUAAGAAUUGUGUCGUUAAACUUCAAUAACUUAGCAGCCACAGCAAAAACUUAUGUAGGCACGCAAGCCACUCAAAAUAGUCAUAUUUUUUGCUUUCCAAACAAAAGCCACUUUGUAAUGAAUAUUCAUAAAUUGCUACUAUCAUGUUUGUUAAAACACGUGAAAACCACCAUAACUAACUAAAUGUAACUGAUGAUCAUCAUCAAGUUCAUGGAAUCACAUAUCUGACAGUAUUAAUUAGUGCAAAUGGCAUGCUUCUUAAAACUCCGUAUUUAUCACAUGGGCGCCAUUCCAAUCAACCAAUGAUUCUGAUCUAGUCGGCAUAUUCAACCCACGAGCGAGUAAUACCUCCUAUUGCUUCUUUACAUUUCUCAACGAAAUUCCACAUUCUAACCAUACUUCUGAACAUGUUGCUCCCAUAGACUAAUACAAUAUAAAGAUUUCUUCCCACACCACCUCAGCCCACACUCCUGAAAAACCAAUUUAAAUUCUCAUUGGCUGUACAACCUAUAGUCCAUACCAAAUUGAAAAAUUUACAAAUAUAGAACCUCAAAGAAUCUUCUUGUGUUCCAUUUUUUACGGCAAGAAAUUUGACUUUUACCACAUGCAAGUCAACAAAUAAAAAAAUCAUGUCUUUGUGAGAUGCACAUUUUCAGAUGAAUCUAAAGAGCAAUGAAACCGUAAAAACCGAAUAUCAGAACACCGAGGACUCCAGAUAUCACCUAUAGAAUCUUUGGUCCACACUUGCACGAUGAAAAUGAUGAAAAACAAUUGAAGGCUUCAUCACCAGCUCCCCAGGUUGUUUUGUUCUCCUAUCUCCUAAAUAUAAAGGAAACGCAACCCGUUCUUUUUUCCAAUCUUAAGGGGCACAAAACGACUCUGGUAUAAAAUAGUCAGUUUCUAUACAAAAAUAACUCCUUUGCACUUGGCAUUGCACAUCUCGAAAUAAAAAGCAUGCUAGAAAGAGAAUAUAAUAGCAUUAAACAAGUUUUAUUAACCAAACUUCAUGCCACACAAGGCAAAAAAGGAAUCUGUACAUGCCAGAUUCCAAGAAUAAUAAUUCCAAUAUACAAUUCAGGAAAACAAUAACUAAAACUAGGUUCACGAGGCCUCGGCAGAAGCAACAUGUAAUAACCAUACUCUAUUAUUUGAAACACAUUUCUAAGUUUGGUUAAGAUUCUAAACUAUUCUCUGUGUCAAUUAUUAACAUGUAAAACAUAAUAAUAUACACUUAAACUACUACACAAACUACUACAGUAGUAAAACCAGUAAAACAACAAUACCUGUUGAAAAGAUUUGCUACCUCUUCACAUUCACGAGCAUUGUAGAACCAAAUCCCAUUUACUUCUUGGGAUGCAUUUCGAUAUAACAAAUACAGAACCUGAACUUCAAACUCAAAAUCUCCCAAAAGAUUUUCCACUAAAUUAUCUGCACAUAUACAAGAUAUUGAAGCUUAUCAGUGCAAAAACAUAUACAAAAAGACAUGAAGGUUAGAAGACAUAACUAAAACUUAGCAACAACUGAUAAGCACAACAAGACAUGAAAUAUAACACUAGUUGUAAACAAGAUAGACACAUGGUAUCUAAAAAAUUGUACCAACCCCCUCUCCUGAUUGUCAUAAAACGGCCAAUAUUUAACCCUAGACAACAAAAUUGCAAAUACUCUAGCCUCUAUAUUAUUGGCAUAUAAAUAUUUUAGGUUAGGUACGUUAUAUUCUUCGUUCUAAAACCUCAAUUAUUAGCUAGUACUGUGAUAAAAUGAUUCAUCACUGAAAUUAAAACUAGUUCACGUACAAAUAAUCAAAACUGAAAUAGAAACAACGACAAACCAACCUGUAUUACGUCGAUUCAUUACAACAAACUGAAAUCGAGGCUGUGUGUUCCUGAAAAUUGAAAAAAUAAUAAUUUCACCAACUUCAUAUGUAAUACAAUCUCCAAAACACCGAAUAUCAAAUGAAAAAAUGGAAAGCAUAAGAGAGAAAAGAAUCUAAUUUUAUUGACCUUUUGACGACGAAGAGAGAGCCUUCAACAUCCUUACGACACCAUUGGCUGAGGUCGAUGUUGAACUCGUAGAAGGUGACAUGAGCGGCCGUGAUGAGGAUCUCCUCAAUGAAUGGAUCGAUUCGCUGAAGAACUGUCAGGUUUAGGAGUUUUGUGCUCUGCUGGUCCAGAUUAGGCAUCAAUUUUCCGUUCUGCGACAUUUUUCAUAGCCGUUUUGGGCUCUGCCCUGAGCACAAGCCCCAUGGUUUUUCUGUGAGCUCUUUCUCUUUUGUAAAUAAAGUGUUUGAUGAGAUAGCCCAGAGAGAGUGAGAGUUGAACAGCCAAACAAGAUGAGGUGAACAGUUUCGGAUUGAGACUCGAGAUUGGUCAAGCUUUAACUUCUUUCAAACAUUUGGGAAAUAGCAUUUAUUUCUUUCAAUUUCUC